Molecule: long non-coding RNA, 287 nt
Filed under: Ananas comosus (pineapple)
Lineage: Eukaryota; Viridiplantae; Streptophyta; Magnoliopsida; Poales; Bromeliaceae
Description: long non-coding RNA (ACOM_LNC034578)
Source: RNAcentral
AGGGGUCUAGAAGACAAGAAAAGAAAAUGUAUCAACUUGUAAAUUAAACGAUGUAAUAAUUAGAUUGUAAUUUGGAAGUAAAAUGUAACUGAGAUGUAUUAAGUGAAUGCUUGUAAUAGCUGUUAGUUUUAUAUAUUUGAUACUUCCUUAUGCAAUCUGGAUUGAUAUCCGUUCCUUGUUGGAACAUUCGUUGAUUGUUUGGAUUGCGACGCCUUGGACGUACUGGAGAGACUCUGUCUGCGUACAGGGAAAUUUCCGGUCCGUCUGGCAGUCUGUCGGCGGCGCCG